RNAcentral lists this ribosomal RNA (264 nucleotides) under uncultured Staphylococcus sp. RNAcentral describes it as "partial 16S ribosomal RNA". It matches the Rfam family "Bacterial small subunit ribosomal RNA", at positions 98 to 355 of the family's 1533-position model. The record is from RNAcentral. Lineage: Bacteria; Bacillati; Bacillota; Bacilli; Caryophanales; Staphylococcaceae.
CGGGACGGGUGAGUAACACGUGGAUAACCUACCUAUAAGACUGGGAUAACUUCGGGAAACCGGAGCUAAUACCGGAUAAUAUAUUGAACCGCAUGGUUCAAUAGUGAAAGACGGUUUUGCUGUCACUUAUAGAUGGAUCCGCGCCGCAUUAGCUAGUUGGUAAGGUAACGGCUUACCAAGGCAACGAUGCGUAGCCGACCUGAGAGGGUGAUCGGCCACACUGGAACUGAGACACGGUCCAGACUCCUACGGGAGGCAGCAGCA